Molecule: non-coding RNA, 107 nt
Organism: Gossypium hirsutum (cotton)
Lineage: Eukaryota; Viridiplantae; Streptophyta; Magnoliopsida; Malvales; Malvaceae
Source: Rfam
AAUCCAUGCAUCAAACAUUUUUGAAUUAAGUCUUUAAAUCGAUCCCAAAUUUUAUAUAGUGUUUCAUCCUCUGAUUGCUGAAAACAUGUAAUGUCAUUUCUAAGCUU